RNAcentral lists this transfer RNA (73 nucleotides) under Actinomycetota bacterium. RNAcentral's name for it is "tRNA-Asn". It matches the Rfam family "tRNA". From Rfam's summary of the family: Transfer RNA (tRNA) molecules are approximately 80 nucleotides in length. Lineage: Bacteria; Bacillati; Actinomycetota. The record is from RNAcentral.
UCCGGGGUAGCUCAAUUGGCGGAGCAGCGGACUGUUAAUCCGACGGCUGUGGGUUCGAGUCCCACCCCCGGAG